Molecule: long non-coding RNA, 1815 nt
Filed under: Nicotiana tabacum (common tobacco)
Lineage: Eukaryota; Viridiplantae; Streptophyta; Magnoliopsida; Solanales; Solanaceae
Description: long non-coding RNA (NTAB_LNC000587)
Source: RNAcentral
CCGAAAAGGAAAACAAUAAAAAGACCUAAGGAUAUACACACUGAUCAGUCGUUUUUCCCCAUUCUUUUCCACACCCAUCGUCUCUUUCACUUGGGCAAAAAUAGAGGAGAACCCCAAGAACCUAAGUAGAAAAAAAAGUCUGCGCAAAAAAAGAAAAAGAAAAGGGUCAGCACCUCAUCUCACUCCAUCUUCCCACAGGCACGAAGCUUUAACACCAAAAAUCACAUGAAACUUUACUUUGAGGCUUCUCCUUUUUUGUCCCAUUAAGUGACUCGGUAGUCGCCUCUCCAUUUUCACUCUAUGGAUUACAUAUUUAAUGUUUUGGUUUUGAAAUCAAAAUGAGCUACGAUGAUUGAUAAAUUUGUGUGUAUUGGUUCAUAGUUUUGAGCUUACAAAUUUCAAAUAUGUUCUUGAAAGGAAAUGGAAGAUGUUUCGCUUACGUUGAAUUCUUCUAAUUCUUUGUUUAGCUCAUGUUGAGAUUUCAUAAAUCCGAUACUUUGUCUUCUUAAAAUUCCAGUAAAUCCAAACCAAGAAAAAAAUAUAUAUUGUGUUUCUUCCUUCCGAUUGGACUGUGAUUUCCAAAUAUGGAGUUUUACUGUGAUGCUAUUGAGGUGAGUCUGAGCUCGGUUCAGCGAGUUCAGCUCGUCUGCGGUUCUGCUUCGGAGUUCGUCAACUCUGUUUGAGGGAGGGUUUUUUGUUACACAAAAGUUUCAAAAGAAAAGUUUGUCCCCUGCUAUUGUGCUAUUCUCUAAGAAGUUAUAACAGGUUCUUUUCUUUUGCUCUAUGUUUGCUAGUUUCCUUUAUCAAGCAUGAUGGUGUCCAUGAUUAUUGGUAUUUUACUUCCCGGAUCAAUUAUUUUGUUUUGCUUAGAAGUUAGAUUUGUGUUUUCCUAAAUGAGCGUAUAUCUUUCUUUAAUCUAUUUUAUUUUGUAGAUUAAUAACUAUGGUGGCUAAUCUUUUAGUUUCAGUGCUCACGUGUUUAGAUCUUCUGUUUUCUUAUUAUGUUCAACUUUGCUAAAGUAUUGUGAGUGAAUGAAUGAAUGGGAUAUGGAGUAAUUUGCAAAGUUGUUUUCAUGGUAUUAUCGUGAUGGUGUACACAUUCGCUUGAUAUAAUUACGAUUCUAAAAUAAAUCGAGGUAUGCGUUCGUGCAACUUAGACCAAAAUUUUCUUAAAAUAAUUAAUAAAGCGUGAUUAGUUGUGGACACGUACGCAUGACACGAUUUUGACGCGCCGAACCAAAUGAUUACACGUACACGUGACUCGUUUCAAGAUAAUUUUCUUAAAUAAAAAACGGUAAAAGGUAAAUGCACAUAGGGUCUAAAAUAAGUAAUUAGAUAAUUUGAUUAAGCCAAGUAUGAUCAAAGCGACCGUGCUAAAACCACAGAACUCGGGAAUGCCUAAAACCUUCUCCCGAGUUAACAAAAUUCCUUACCCGGAUUUCUGUGUUCGCAGACCGUAAAUAGAGUCAACUUCCUUAAUUUGAGAUUUUAAACCGGUGACUUGGACACCAAUAAACUAUCCCAAGUGGCGACUAUAAUUUUUUAAAAAAAAAUAAUCCCGUUUUGAUUGUCACUUAAAUUGGAAAAAACUCCCUUACAUCCCCUUUUCGAGGUUAGUAAAAAGGAGGUGUGACAGUUGUGAGGUGGCUUGAUUAUUUGCAGGGGUGUUGUGAUCCCGUGUAGCUUGUGGUGUUAUGUGAUCAAGAUAGCUCUCGAGACGAAGAUCAUUUAUUGCACCCUAGUUGUUCUUGGGUUUUGUGAUGUAUGGCGCUAUCCGUUUCCCCAGGGUUAUAUUUUUGCACUUGGUGUGCUUGUG